This 540-nucleotide ribosomal RNA is filed under the name Ichthyophis cf. malabarensis DJG-375. Its description in RNAcentral is "partial 16S ribosomal RNA". It matches the Rfam family "Bacterial large subunit ribosomal RNA", at positions 1816 to 2597 of the family's 2925-position model. RNAcentral also lists the same sequence under 2 other names. Lineage: Eukaryota; Metazoa; Chordata; Amphibia; Gymnophiona; Ichthyophiidae. The record is from RNAcentral.
CGCCUCUAGCCAAAACUAAUAUUAGAGGUACUGCCUGCCCAGUGAUACGAUUCAACGGCCGCGGUAUUCUGACCGUGCAAAGGUAGCAUAAUCACUUGUUUUCUAAAUAAAGACUAGUAUGAACGGCAAAACGAAGGCUAAACUGUCUCCUCUACCUCAUCAAUGAAAUUGAUCUCCCAGUACAAAAGCUGGAAUAAAAAAAUAAGACGAGAAGACCCUAUGGAGCUUUAAACAUAUAGAAAGUAUCAAUAACGUUUAACUAACAUCACACUAUUUCUAAACUGUUUUUGGUUGGGGCGACCACGGAGAAAACAAAUCCUCCGAGAUGAAUACCAAGGAAAACUAUCCAAAGUGUCAGAACCAACUGCCAUAAUUGAUCCAAUUAAUUUUGAUCAACGAACCAAGUUACCCUAGGGAUAACAGCGCAAUCCUCUUUAAGAGUCCAUAUCAACAAGAGGGUUUACGACCUCGAUGUUGGAUCAGGAUAACCUGACAGUGCAAUCGUCGUCAAAGGUUUGUUUGUUCAACAAUUAAAAUCCU